This 586-nucleotide long non-coding RNA is filed under the name Chrysemys picta bellii (western painted turtle). Its description in RNAcentral is "lncRNA (ENSCPBG00000010644.1)". The record is from RNAcentral. Lineage: Eukaryota; Metazoa; Chordata; Testudines; Emydidae.
AAGGCUCAUCUUUCAGGCCUUAGAAUAUAAUUAUGUUAUUACCAAUGAAGAACUUCACAGAAGAAAUGUAGUAUAAGGAAGAAUUUGACUAGAAGAUGGCUGACGGGAUGAAGUAGGAAACUGUUCCAAGCAAAAGAGGUAGCAUGGAAGAAGCAUGAAGAAAAGACUGGAGAAGGACACUCAAGAGUUGGUUUCCCUCUCCACUUUCCAACAGACAAUGGAUGUAUCCUGCUCCUGAGUCCCUGACAAACAUAUAACAAAAUCAUUGGGUGAGUGAAACAUUAGCCCAAAACAAGACUUCCUUGGAAAAGUCAGAUGGAAUUUAAGAGGUGUUAAGCAACUAAGAGUGUUCUAUACAAAUUUAACGGAGUUCCUUAGAAAUUACCCUAAAACCCUAUAGAAUGUAAUACAAUAUUAUAGCUUUUUCUAUAGGUUUUUUAAUCCUAUAGAAUUCUAUAAUAGGUAUACAAUUAUCUAAACAUUAUAUAGAAAAAUUCAAAAUACUUAUAAGAAGACUUACAAUUUUCUAAUAUAUUUGGAGGGACUUUUCAAUAAAGACAGUGAUUGAUUAUAAAAUUUUAAUAAU